AUCCAGCUGACGAGUCAAAAAUAGGACGAAACGUGCGUCAAACUAGAU
Schistosoma margrebowiei is the source of this 48-nucleotide non-coding RNA. The record is from Rfam. Lineage: Eukaryota; Metazoa; Platyhelminthes; Trematoda; Strigeidida; Schistosomatidae.